Molecule: ribosomal RNA, 878 nt
Filed under: Ganoderma lucidum
Lineage: Eukaryota; Fungi; Basidiomycota; Agaricomycetes; Polyporales; Polyporaceae
Description: partial large subunit ribosomal RNA
Rfam family: Eukaryotic large subunit ribosomal RNA
Source: RNAcentral
AUUCCCCUAGUAACUGCGAGUGAAGCGGGAAAAGCUCAAAUUUAAAAUCUGGCGCUCUUUGGCCGUCCGAGUUGUAGUCUGGAGAAGUGCUUUCCGCCCUGGACCGUGUAUAAGUCUCUUGGAACAGAGCGUCAUAGAGGGUGAGAAUCCCGUCUUUGACACGGACUACCAGUGCUUUGUGAUGCGCUCUCAAAGAGUCGAGUUGUUUGGGAAUGCAGCUCAAAAUGGGUGGUGAAUUCCAUCUAAAGCUAAAUAUUGGCGAGAGACCGAUAGCGAACAAGUACCGUGAGGGAAAGAUGAAAAGCACUUUGGAAAGAGAGUUAAACAGUACGUGAAAUUGCUGAAAGGGAAACGCUUGAAGUCAGUCGCGUUGUCCGGAACUCAGCCUUGCUUUUGCUUGGUGCACUUUCCGGAUGACGGGUCAGCAUCGAUUUUGACCGUCGGAAAAGGGCUGGAGUAAUGUGGCACCUCCGGGUGUGUUAUAGACUYUGGUCGCAUAGGACGGUUGGGAUCGAGGAACGCAWCGCGCCGCAAGGCAGGGGUUCGCCCACUUUCGCGCUUAGGAUGCUGGCAUAAUGGCUUUAAACGACCCGUCUUGAAACACGGACCAAGGAGUCUAACGUACCUGCGAGUGUUUGGGUGGAAAACCCGAGCGCGUAAUGAAAGUGAAAGUUGAGAUCCCUGUCGUGGGGAGCACCGACGCCCGGACCUGACGUUCUCUGACGGAUCCGCGGUAGAGCAUGUAUGUUGGGACCCGAAAGAUGGUGAGGUAUGCCUGAAUAGGGUGAAGCCAGAGGAAACUCUGGUAAAGGGUCGUAGCGAUUCUGACGUGCAAAUCGAUCGUCAAAUUUGGGUAUAGGGGCGAAAGACUAAUCGAA